Molecule: ribosomal RNA, 322 nt
Filed under: uncultured soil bacterium
Lineage: Bacteria
Description: bacterial SSU rRNA
Rfam family: Bacterial small subunit ribosomal RNA
Source: RNAcentral
AGAUUGAACGCUAGCGGGAUGCUUUACACAUGCAAGUCGAACGGCAGCGCGGACUUCGGUCUGGCGGCGAGUGGCGAACGGGUGAGUAAUAUAUCGGAACGUGCCCAGUAGCGGGGGAUAACUACGCGAAAGCGUGGCUAAUACCGCAUACGCCCGUACGGGGGAAAGGGGGGAUUCUUCGGAACCUCUCACUAUUGGAGCGGCCGAUAUCAGAUUAGCUAGUUGGUGAGGUAAAGGCUACACCAAGGCGACGAUCUGUAGCUGGUUUGAGAGGACGACCAGCCACACUGGGACUGAGACACGGCCCAGACUCCGUACGGGA